Molecule: ribosomal RNA, 895 nt
Filed under: uncultured bacterium
Lineage: Bacteria
Description: bacterial SSU rRNA
Rfam family: Bacterial small subunit ribosomal RNA
Source: RNAcentral
CCUUAGAGUUUGAUCCUGGCUCAGGAUGAACGCUGGCGGCGUGCCUAACACAUGCAAGUCGAGCGAUCUCUUUGGAGAGAGCGGCGGACGGGUGAGUAACGCGUGGGUAACCUGCCCUGUACACACGGAUAACAUACCGAAAGGUAUGCUAAUACGGGAUAAAAUAUUUUUAUCGCAUGGUAAAAAUAUCAAAGCUUUUGUGGUACAGGAUGGACCCGCGUCUGAUUAGCUAGUUGGUAAGGUAAUGGCUUACCAAGGCGACGAUCAGUAGCCGACCUGAGAGGGUGAUCGGCCACACUGGAACUGAGACACGGUCCAGACUCCUACGGGAGGCAGCAGUGGGGAAUAUUGCACAAUGGGCGAAAGCCUGAUGCAGCAACGCCGCGUGAGCGAUGAAGGCCUUCGGGUCGUAAAGCUCUGUCCUCAAGGAAGAUAAUGACGGUACUUGAGGAGGAAGCCCCGGCUAACUACGUGCCAGCAGCCGCGGUAAUACGUAGGGGGCUAGCGUUAUCCGGAAUUACUGGGCGUAAAGGGUGCGUAGGCGGUCUUUCAAGCCAGAAGUGAAAGGCUACGGCUCAACCGUAGUAAGCUUUUGGAACUGUAGGACUUGAGUGCAGGAGAGGAGAGUAGAAUUCCUAGUGUAGCGGUGAAAUGCGUAGAUAUUAGGAGGAAUACCAGUAGCGAAGGCGGCUCUCUGGACUGUAACUGACGCUGAGGCACGAAAGCGUGGGGAGCAAACAGGAUUAGAUACCCUGGUAGUCCACGCCGUAAACGAUGAGUACUAGGUGUCGGGGGUUACCCCCCUCGGUGCCGCAGCUAACGCAUUAAGUACUCCGCCUGGGAAGUACGCUCGCAAGAGUGAAACUCAAAGGAAUUGACGGAAGGGCGAAUCCAG